AAGUCGAGGGGCAUCAGUUUGGUUUGCUUGCAAACCAAAGCUGGCGACCGGCGCACGGGUGAGUAACACGUAUCCAACCUGCCGAUGACUCGGGGAUAGCCUUUCGAAAGAAAGAUUAAUACCCGAUGGUAUAUCUGAAAGGCAUCUUUCAGCUAUUAAAGAAUUUCGGUCAUUGAUGGGGAUGCGUUCCAUUAGGUAGUAGGCGGGGUAACGGCCCACCUAGCCGACGAUGGAUAGGGGUUCUGAGAGGAAGGUCCCCACAUUGGAACUGAGACACGGUCCAAACUCC
This 289-nucleotide ribosomal RNA is filed under the name uncultured Bacteroides sp. RNAcentral's name for it is "partial 16S ribosomal RNA". It matches the Rfam family "Bacterial small subunit ribosomal RNA", at positions 59 to 339 of the family's 1533-position model. Lineage: Bacteria; Pseudomonadati; Bacteroidota; Bacteroidia; Bacteroidales; Bacteroidaceae. The record is from RNAcentral.